This 371-nucleotide ribosomal RNA is filed under the name Cladosporium sp. CID280. Its description in RNAcentral is "eukaryotic LSU rRNA". The stretch from base 22 to 175 matches the Rfam family "5.8S ribosomal RNA". Lineage: Eukaryota; Fungi; Ascomycota; Dothideomycetes; Cladosporiales; Cladosporiaceae. The record is from RNAcentral.
UAAACUUAAUUAAUAAAAUUAAACUUUUAACACCGGAUCUCUUGGUUCUGGCAUCGAUGAAGAACGCAGCGAAAUGCGAUAAGUAAUGUGAAUUGCAGAAUUCAGUGAAUCAUCGAAUCUUUGAACGCACAUUGCGCCCCCUGGUAUUCCGGGGGGCAUGCCUGUUCGAGCGUCAUUUCACCACUCAAGCCUCGCUUGGUAUUGGGCAACGCGGUCCGCCGCGUGCCUCAAAUCGUCCGGCUGGGUCUUCUGUCCCCUAAGCGUUGUGGAAACUAUUCGCUAAAGGGUGUUCGGGAGGCUACGCCGUAAAACAACCCCAUUUCUAAGGUUGACCUCGGAUCAGGUAGGGAUACCCGCUGAACUUAAGCAUA